CACGUAGGAGGCAAGCGUUAUUCGGAUUUACUGGGCGUAAAGCGCACGCAGGCGGUUCGAUAAGUUGGAUGUGAAAGCUCCUGGCUUAACUGGGAGAGGUCGUUCAAUACUAUCGGACUUGAGGAUGAGAGAGGGAGGUGGAAUUCCGGGUGUAGUGGUGGAAUGCGUAGAUAUUCGGAGGAACACCAGUGGCGAAAGCGGCCUCCUGGCUCAUAACUGACGCUCAUGUGCGAAAGCUAGGGUAGCAAAC
RNAcentral lists this ribosomal RNA (250 nucleotides) under uncultured bacterium. RNAcentral describes it as "partial 16S ribosomal RNA". It matches the Rfam family "Bacterial small subunit ribosomal RNA", at positions 524 to 773 of the family's 1533-position model. The record is from RNAcentral.